Long non-coding RNA from Lagopus leucura (white-tailed ptarmigan), 537 nucleotides. RefSeq lists it as uncharacterized. NCBI's taxonomy places the organism in Eukaryota, Metazoa, Chordata, Aves, Galliformes, Phasianidae. The transcript has 5 exons. The record is from RefSeq and is a predicted model, not a curated record.
UGUUCUUACAUGACUAAGAGCUGGCAGACCGAGCUGUCCGUCUGAAUGGGUAAUUAAUUCACAUAAGUCUAUGUUGUGAGAUACAUACAAAAACUACAGACCUAAUUAUUUGCAACAUUCUACUCCAUAUAUCCUCAUAAACAUGCCCAACAUUUCAGACAUACUUGGUGCCACUUGCUACAAGAAUUCAACCAAGACAGCAUCUUCUCAUGAUUUCAGGUCUGUGUCAAUACAUGGCUCCCAGGGAAUGACUCCACCUCAAGAGCUUUAGACAACACCAAUCAGAAAACUCCUGGAAGCAACAGCCACCCCAAAACACUUCUGCAGAAAAAGGAAGAGUGAAAUAUUGUGUCUGAGAAACCACCCAGUUAUUGGCACUGAGACCAUCCUUCAGCUGACAGCUGUGUUUUGGUGUUUCGUGAUCUCAAAAAGCGUAUCAAGAAGCCUCACAGUAGAAAUGUCCUCAAACAUCCCUUCUGUAAAGUUGGUAACACGCACUGAGGAGUCAGAUGCUGCUUUAACUUGUUCUCCAAUAUG